CCUACGGGAGGCAGCAGUGGGGGAUAUUGCACAAUGGGGGGAACCCUGAUGCAGCGACGCCGCGUGAGCGAAGAAGUACCUCGGUAUGUAAAGCUCUAUCAGCAGGGAAGAAAAUGACGGUACCUGACUAAGAAGCCCCGGCUAAAUCCGUGCCAGCAGCCGCGGUCAUACGUAUGGGGCAAGCGUUAUCCGGAUUGACUGGGUGGAACGGGAGCGCAGGCGGCCUGCCAAGUCGGGUGUGAAAACCCCGGGCCCAACCCCGGGACUGCAUUUGAAACUGGCGGGCUGGAGUGCCGGAGGGGGAGGUGGAAUUCCUAGUGUAGCGGUGAAAUGCGUAGAUAUUAGGAGGAACACCGGUGGCGAAGGCGGCCUGCUGGACGAUGACUGACGCUGAGGCGCGAAAGCGUGGGGAGCAAACAGGAUUAGAUACCCGGGUAGUC
RNAcentral lists this ribosomal RNA (440 nucleotides) under uncultured bacterium. Its description in RNAcentral is "partial 16S ribosomal RNA". It matches the Rfam family "Bacterial small subunit ribosomal RNA", at positions 338 to 795 of the family's 1533-position model. The record is from RNAcentral.